CUGGAUAAUGCAGCUUCUCCCACUGCAGACUAUCCCUCAUUACACAGACUGGAUAAUGCAGCUUCUCCCACUGCAGACUAUCCCUCAUUACACAGAUAAUGCAGCUUCCCCCACUGCAGACUAUCCCUCAUUACACAGACUGGAUCCUGCAGCUUCCCCCACUGCAGACUAUCCCGCAUUACACAGACUGAAUCCCCCACUGCAGACUAUCCCUCAUUACACAGACUGAAUCCCCCACUGCAGACUAUCCUUCAUUACACAGACUAUCCCUCAUUACACAGACUGGAUCAUGCAGCUUCCCCCACUGCAGAC
This is a non-coding RNA of Pelobates cultripes (western spadefoot toad), 312 nucleotides long. Lineage: Eukaryota; Metazoa; Chordata; Amphibia; Anura; Pelobatidae. The record is from the annotation of a GenBank genome assembly.